UCUAACUGGACCUAUUUGUGGGCUAUGGGGAACACGUCAGGACUGAAAAGAGGCUCCACUUUCUCCUUCCUGAAUGGAAUGGACAUGUUCAACCUAUGGUGGGCAGCAGCAGGAGUGUGCUCCCUGGUUGCUGAGGGUGUGGCGCCAUGGCGGGAACAUCAUACUGUCUCAAGGGCAACCCCUGUCCAUGUAAAUGAGGGACGCCUGUCUGCAGAACAUCACCCGAGGGUGCUGACUGGAGCUGAGAUCUUUAAGAGCAGAAGGAUCAGGACCGACGCUGAGCCUGCAGUCUCCAGGUGUGAGGGGAGAGCAUGGUGUCACACUUGAAUGAAGCUUGAAGGCUGACCAGGCAUCUUCCGGGUGCACAGGAAGAGGAAGUUGGUUUCAGACAAGAGGGGAAAUGAGCACUGGUCAGUGCAACAAGGUGAGAG
This 431-nucleotide long non-coding RNA is filed under the name Chinchilla lanigera (long-tailed chinchilla). RNAcentral describes it as "lncRNA (ENSCLAG00000027358.1)". Lineage: Eukaryota; Metazoa; Chordata; Mammalia; Rodentia; Chinchillidae. The record is from RNAcentral.